GACGAACGCUGGCGGUGUGCUUAACACAUGCAAGUCGAGCGGGUAAGGCCCUUUCGGGGGUACACGAGCGGCGAACGGGUGAGUAACACGUGGGUGACCUGCCCUCAGCUCUGGGAUAAGCCUGGGAAACCGGGUCUAAUACUGGAUAUGACUCCAUGACGCAUGUUGUGGGGUGGAAAGCCUUGUGCGGCUGAGGAUGGGCCCGCGGCCUAUCAGCUUGUUGGUGGGGUGANGGCCUACCAAGGCGACGACGGGUAGCCGGCCUGAGAGGGCGACCGGCCACACUGGGACUGAGACACGGCCCAGACUCCUACGGGAGGCAGCAGUGGGGAAUCUUGCGCAAUGGGCGAAAGCCUGACGCAGCGACGCCGCGUGAGGGAUGACGGCCU
RNAcentral lists this ribosomal RNA (389 nucleotides) under uncultured bacterium. RNAcentral's name for it is "bacterial SSU rRNA". It matches the Rfam family "Bacterial small subunit ribosomal RNA", at positions 28 to 417 of the family's 1533-position model. The record is from RNAcentral.